This is a long non-coding RNA of Brassica rapa (field mustard), 1266 nucleotides long. RefSeq lists it as uncharacterized. NCBI's taxonomy places the organism in Eukaryota, Viridiplantae, Streptophyta, Magnoliopsida, Brassicales, Brassicaceae. The record is from RefSeq and is a predicted model, not a curated record.
UAGUCUAACAAUACUAAAAGUUAAAUAACUAGAGCAAAGAGAGUGUACACGUCAUCAAAUUUAAUCGACCAAUAGGAACAAUUAUGUAGCCACGUCAAUAAUUUCUCAAGGCCGAAGAUAGUUAUUUUCCAGUUCUCUGAUUCAACGUGGCCCAUUAAGUCGACCCACUCUUUCACAUUUAAUAAGCUUCAUUACUCCUUACAAAGUCAGAGAUGUUAGCGUUCCGACUCCCAUUGUUCUUUGUUUAUAUAAACUAUACUUCUCUGAAUCUCUCUACUGUGUAUUCAAAACCCUUUCCUCUUCCUCUCAGCUGAAAUCUGUUCAAUCGCUCACUAGCACACACCUUUAGGGUUUCCAGUUCGAUUAAAGUACAAACGAAACAUUUUCAAACCCAUCCUUUGAUUUGUAUUCGGAUUGCUUUGAGAUUGUCGUCCAAGUUGUAGAUCUCAAGCCUAUCAGCAAUCGAUAUACGUAAGUUUCGAACUUUUGACUAUACAUCAGUGUUCAUCCUCUGAUACCAUCUCUGAGUUCACUAAUUUCAUCAUUAAAUUGGAUUGUAGUUUCACAAUCGUCUAUGAUUCCAUGGUAUCGAUCUGGAUUUACAUGUUCUUCUUGUGGUUUACAUGUUUAGCGCGAAUGAUGGAAAGACGAAAGUGAAAGCUAUGUUUACAGGUUCACUAACGCAUUAAAUCAUUCAUGGGAAGAUCCGGAAUCAAAGUCUGAUUCAUCUCCUCAGUUUCACUGUUAAUGGCAUCUCAAGCAAAUCGACAACGUAAAGAUCUUCUCUGCUGAUUUAACACAUUUUCCUCAGAUUAUUGAAAACCAACUGUUGUUAACGUCUGUGUGAUUUCCCUGUCUGCUUUGUUGUUUUCUUCACUUAUCGGUUGUAGCUCAGAUAUGGGAUUACUGCAUUGAUCUUUUAUAAGAGCCACUAACCCUACAACACAAUGCAAAAGCUGUGGAAUCUACGAGGAGAGACCACUUUUAUAUAUGAUUCAUUUGACGAAUGGGAGUUUUGUCCCUCUGAUUUCACAGCUGAGAGUAUAUACGUACACGUCAAGGACAAAAAAUUCAAUGCUACUUUUCUCUGCCAUGGAUGCCACACAAGUUGGGGAUGAUGAAGCAUCCAUCCAUGAAGUUUUCCCCGACAGUUUGUCUUGAAGUUUUCGUUGCCACACUGAAGACUCUCCAGCUACUGAGAGAGAUUUUUCUGAAGGCUCUAUCGGUCCCCAUGGACUACAACAUUUUCCAGGCUAAUCAAACAUG